UGAAAAAGAACCUGAAACCGUGUACGUACAAGCAGUGGGAGCACCCUGGGUGUGACUGCGUACCUUUUGUAUAAUGGGUCAGCGACUUAUAUUCUGUAGCAAGGUUAACCGAAUAGGGGAGCCGGAGGGAAACCGAGUCUUAAUUGGGCGUUAAGUUGCAGGGUAUAGACCCGAAACCCGGUGAUCUAGCCAUGGGCAGGUUGAAGGUUGGGUAACACUAACUGGAGGACCGAACCGACUAAUGUUGAAAAA
Molecule: ribosomal RNA, 252 nt
Filed under: Salmonella enterica subsp. enterica serovar Cerro
Lineage: Bacteria; Pseudomonadati; Pseudomonadota; Gammaproteobacteria; Enterobacterales; Enterobacteriaceae
Description: partial 23S ribosomal RNA
Rfam family: Bacterial large subunit ribosomal RNA
Source: RNAcentral